Molecule: small RNA, 277 nt
Filed under: Drosophila willistoni
Lineage: Eukaryota; Metazoa; Arthropoda; Insecta; Diptera; Drosophilidae
Description: GK27766
Source: RNAcentral
AGCACUGUUCGAGUGUCUAAUGCAGUGAAACGAAAAAUGAUCUAGAUCGAUUCUUGAUUGGGAUGAUACCAACUUAUGAAGAGACUCAUUGGUGAGCAUGCAGAUUCAUCUGAAAAAAGCGCUGUAUUUGCGACCGUUUCGGGCAUUAUCGACCUAUCCGACAGAAAGCUGUGGUCGUUGUCCUCACCGCGUCAAAAACAAACUUAUUCUGUUUACAAAAUGUCAGUUAUAAAGGUAACAAAAGGUAAAGUAAAGCAACAAAAUUUACAAUAGCGAA